UGAGUGAGAGAGUGAGUGAGUUAGUGAGAGAGUGAGUGAGAGAGUGAGUGAGUUAGUGAGAGAGUGAGUGAGUGAGUGAGUGAGUGUGUGAGUGAGAGAGUGAGUGAGUGAGUGAGUGAGAGAGUGAGAGAGUGAGUGAGUGAGUGAGUGAGAGAGUGAUGAGUUAGUGAGAGAGUGAGUGAGUGAGAGAGUGAGUGAGUGAGAGAGUGAGCGAGUGAGUGAGUGAGAGAGUGAGAGAGUGAGUGAGUGAGUGAGUUAGUGAGAGAGUGAGAGAGUGAGAGAGUGAGUGAGUGAGUGAGAGUGAGAGUGAUGAGUGAGUGAGUGAAUGAGAGAGUGAGAGAGUGAGUGAGUGAGUGAGAGAGUGAGUGAGUGAGUGAGAGAGUCACCCAGAAAAUCCUAAAGGAGAAUAUCCGUUCUUCGGUCCAUAAGCUGAAACUCAAGAACAACUGGAUUAUGCAGCAAGACAACGAUCCAAAGCGUAGGAGUUCGU
This is a long non-coding RNA of Ictalurus punctatus (channel catfish), 490 nucleotides long. NCBI's taxonomy places the organism in Eukaryota, Metazoa, Chordata, Actinopteri, Siluriformes, Ictaluridae. The record is from Ensembl.